RNAcentral lists this ribosomal RNA (496 nucleotides) under uncultured bacterium. RNAcentral describes it as "partial 16S ribosomal RNA". It matches the Rfam family "Bacterial small subunit ribosomal RNA", at positions 28 to 506 of the family's 1533-position model. The record is from RNAcentral.
GAUGAACGCUGGCGGCGUGCCUAAUACAUGCAAGUCGAGCGAACAGAUAAGGAGCUUGCUCCUUUGACGUUAGCGGCGGACGGGUGAGUAACACGUGGGUAACCUACCUAUAAGACUGGGAUAACUUCGGGAAACCGGAGCUAAUACCGGAUAACAUUUGGAACCGCAUGGUUCUAAAGUGAAAGAUGGUUUUGCUAUCACUUAUAGAUGGACCCGCGCCGUAUUAGCUAGUUGGUAAGGUAACGGCUUACCAAGGCGACGAUACGUAGCCGACCUGAGAGGGGGAUCGGCCACACUGGAACUGAGACACGGUCCAGACCCCUACGGGAGGCAGCGGUAGGGAAUCUUCCGCAAUGGGCGAAAGCCUGACGGAGCAACGCCGCGUGAGUGAUGAAGGGUUUCGGCUCGUAAAACUCUGUUAUUAGGGAAGAACAAACGUGUAAGUAACUGUGCACGUCUUGACGGUACCUAAGCAGAAAGCCACGGCUAACUACGU